This 385-nucleotide ribosomal RNA is filed under the name uncultured bacterium. RNAcentral describes it as "bacterial SSU rRNA". It matches the Rfam family "Bacterial small subunit ribosomal RNA", at positions 29 to 381 of the family's 1533-position model. The record is from RNAcentral.
AACGAACGCUGGCGGCGUGGCUAAGACAUGCAAGUCGAACGGUACGUUGUAGCAAUAUGACGUACAGUGGCGGACGGGUGAGUAAUAAAUAGGUAACGUAUCUCGGACACAGGGAUAGCGUCGGGGCGAAAGCCCCUUUGCGAAAGUGACGGUAAUACCUGAUGACGUCCUUGAGGGGCAUCCCUCAAGGACCAAAAGGUGGGCCUUACGGCCUGCUGGUCUGGGCGCGGCCUAUUCCCUANCAGCUUGUUGGUGAGGUAACGGCUCACCAAGGCAACGACGGGUAACCGGACUGAGAGGUUGGCCGGUCACAUCGGGACUGAGACACUGCCCGGACAUCUACGGAUGGCUGCAGUAACGAAUAUUCCCGCAAAUGGGCGAAAAG